RNAcentral lists this non-coding RNA (192 nucleotides) under Eubacterium sp. RNAcentral describes it as "6S RNA". It matches the Rfam family "6S / SsrS RNA". Rfam says of the family: E. coli 6S RNA was the first non coding RNA to be sequenced, but its function was unknown until recently. It consists of 184 nucleotides that fold into an extended hairpin structure with a large single-stranded internal bulge. Lineage: Bacteria; Bacillati; Bacillota; Clostridia; Eubacteriales; Eubacteriaceae. The record is from RNAcentral.
AAAAUCCUGGAGUGUUCGAUAGUCUUACAUAUUUUGAUCCUACACUAUUCUAAAGGGAUUCCGGUAUACAUACCUAUGUCAGGCCUCCUUGUCCAAUAGGACAUGCCAGUGGAAGAUUGCAGUAUGUAUCAGGUCACCCACCUGGCUUUCGCUAGGCGUCAGAAUCGUAAGAAACGGCAUUUUGGGAUUUUU